Long non-coding RNA from Heterocephalus glaber (naked mole-rat), 779 nucleotides. The record is from Ensembl. Lineage: Eukaryota; Metazoa; Chordata; Mammalia; Rodentia; Bathyergidae.
AUGAUGGGAUUGAUUCAUGGUGCAAUGCUACAAGUAAGGCCCCACCCUGGGUGUGCUAUGGGCAGGUAGCCUGGAUAGACUCCAAGGGACAGAAAGAGGGCUGCUGUUGCCACCUGCAGCAUGCCACUUUACUGCUUUGUUGCUUCUCCCCGCCAUGAACUAUUUCUCCUCUGCAGCGUCCCUCUCCCAUGCCAACCUGCUUUGGAGCCAGCCAACUAUGAACUGAAACCUUUACACACUGUGAGGUGCAGGGUUUUCUGAUGGAGCCUGCCAUCACUUGUCGAACAGUACCUGAAUCGGGGGGUGAGGAUGAAGAAAAAUAAAGACAAAGAGAGUCGGGAGGGCUCCCAGAGACCGAGCGCCCAAGUUUAUUUUUCUCCUCUCUUUUAUACAGCAGGUCCCUGUUCGGGCGCCACCCGUGACAGAGCCCGCCGUCACUUGUCGAACAGCACCUGAAUGGGGGAGUGAGGAUGAAGAAAAAGAAAGACAAAGAGAGUCGGGAGGGCUCCCAGAGACCGAGCGCCCAAGUUUAUUUUUCUCCUCUCUUUUAUACAGCAGAACGUUCAUCACGUUCCAGGGCAAUCUAAUUCGGCAAGGACGCGGUUCCUCAUAACAUAGUCUCCUUGCUCUAUACAAUGGAGGGUUGGCCUCAAACUUGUGAUCCUCCUACCUCAACCUCCUGAGUGAAGGAGAUUACAGUGUGCACCACCAUGCCUGGCUCCAAAAUUAGAGAUUUUUAACUCAACUAAAGCAAAUGAAGCUAGACUAGAAUUUUUUCC